GCAUGGGUUUGGAUUUACGGCAGGCCCAUCACGCUGGGCCUCUCAUAGUGUCAUAUGCUGGAGCAACCUGUGACUCCGAACCAUCGCCUGGUGUCUGUGCCUGUAGGCUGCUGGCACUGAAGUCAAACAACA
Small nucleolar RNA from Nannospalax galili (Upper Galilee mountains blind mole rat), 132 nucleotides. The record is from Ensembl. Lineage: Eukaryota; Metazoa; Chordata; Mammalia; Rodentia; Spalacidae.